GACGAACGCUGGCGGCGUGCUUAACACAUGCAAGUCGUACGGUAAGGCCCUUUCGGGGGUACACGAGUGGCGAACGGGUGAGUAACACGUGAGUAACCUGCCCACAACUUUGGGAUAACGCUAGGAAACUGGUGCUAAUACUGGAUAUGUGCUCCUGCUGCAUGGUGGGGGUUGGAAAGCUCCGGCGGUUGUGGAUGGACUCGCGGCCUAUCAGCUUGUUGGUGGGGUAGUGGCCUACCAAGGCGGCGACGGGUAGCCGGCCUGAGAGGGUGACCGGCCACAUUGGGACUGAGAUACGGCCCAGACGCCUACGGGGGGCAGCAGUGGGGAAUAUUGCACAAUGGGCGCAAGCCUGAUGCAGCAACGCCGCGUGCGGGAUGACGGCCUUCGGGUUGUAAACCGCUUUCAGCAGGGACGAAGCUUUUUGUGACGGUACCUGCAGAAGAAGCACCGGCUAACUACGUG
RNAcentral lists this ribosomal RNA (465 nucleotides) under uncultured bacterium. RNAcentral's name for it is "partial 16S ribosomal RNA". It matches the Rfam family "Bacterial small subunit ribosomal RNA", at positions 28 to 507 of the family's 1533-position model. The record is from RNAcentral.